GCACUUUUGACACCAUUGAGAUCUAUCUCGAUGACUUCAAUCGAGGCUGGCAACACCGCAUUGGGGAUGAUUGUAGAUAGAUAAGUAGCCUGGGGAGAUAUGGACAUCACUGGACCCUGUAAAAAGAAAAUGAGUUUAAUGCAUAGGAAGGACACAUUUAGACUACGUCCUAUAAUUAUUAUUUUCACCUGGGGCUCUAAGAAGAAGCUACUCUUUGAAGGAUUAAAGGAAGCGAAAGUAGUCAUGCCAGGGACCACAACAGACUUGGGUCUGAGGACAGAUGAGCGAUAGCAAUGGGAUCCAAAUUCUUGAUGGUUUAAGGGCUCCUCCUCCUCCUCGUACGCUUCCUGAGGAUGCUUUCUCGUUUGCUGCUUAUCACCAGUUACCUGCUUUGGAGUUGAGAAGUGAUCCGCAUCCAUAAAAAGUCAAAAACCAAAAGGACUUUGUAUGUUAAACACUUACCUCCAGGUCUGAAAGGUGCACCCUUGCUCCCUGCUUGGUCACUACUGGAGUCCCUCCAUCAAAAGUUGGAAUGAUGAAAACAUCUGAUUGGUUGUUGUUGUUGUUGGUAGAAACAACCUGCUGGAAGGUGGAACCUCUGUGUAAUGCUGGGAAAAGUGUACACUUUUAAAACUCUAUUAAAUAUGCUGUUGGAUACAGUGUGACUCUUAAACCUACCAAGUUCUUUCUGCACCUGGUUGGGAAUACCCAUGAUGGUUGUCCUCCUGUUCUUCUUUUUGUUCUGAUCUAACCUUUUCACUGGGUACAAAGGCUUAAAUGUCGAACCUUUAAAAAAGACAGAAUGAACUAAAGAGCUUAACUCAUAAUUCUGCCUUUUAAGAGCGAUACCAUACCUUGGCGAGUGAGUGCAGAUCUGGUGGACACAGUAUCUGUAAUCCCUGAGUUGGAUUGCCAUUCCAGUGUGCCCCCCUCAUUUUUGCAGUUAACAUCUUGUUCCGGAAGUGCUGUGUCUGACGACUGCGGUGCACAAAAACAUUGGAUGAAACACACAGAACAGUAGAAGAGAAGGAGGAUUCGCAACGUUUCUUCACUGACAAACUUACAGCAAUGCGUUCAUCUUCAGCAAAGUUCACUCCACUCUCGUGCUCUUUCGAAAGCAAAUCAACAGUAAGUAUAAAACUCAACAAACCAUAUAAAUGCAACUUACCUUCCUUCUGUUGUAUCUUCAAGCCCUCCUGAGCCUCCGAGUGCAGGUCCUCCAGGAACUGAGGCCUGCUGCCCUCGAUGAACACGUUCUCCUGGAAGUGUUGUGAGGCCGCGUAGUGGACCGACACCCUCUUCUGCUCGUCAUGGACCUUGGCACAAGCUGUCAAGAAAGGGAUAUUGAGCCUGCAGACUUCCAACCUGUUCAACAGGAGAUGGACACCUGACCACUGACUGUUUCUACUGGGAGACCUGACCAGUGACUGUUUCUACUGGGAGACCUGACCAGUGACUGUUUCUACUGGGAGACCUGACCACUGACUGUUUCUACUGGGAGACCUGACCAGUGACUGUUUCUACUGGGAGACCUGACCAGUGACUGUUUCUACUGGGAGACCUGACCAGUGACUGUUUCUACUGGGAGACCUGACCACUGACUGUUUCUACUGGGAGACCUGACCACUGACUGUUUCUACUGGGAGACCUGACCACUGACUGUUUCUACUGGGAGACCUGACCACUGACUGUUUCUACUGGGAGACCUGACCAGUGACUGUUUCUACUGGGAGACCUGACCACUGACUGUUUCUACUGGGAGACCUGACCACUGACUGUUUCUACUGGGAGACCUGACCAGUGACUGUUUCUACUGGGAGACCUAACCACUGACUGUUUCUACUGGGAGACCUGACC
Molecule: non-coding RNA, 1857 nt
Organism: Nerophis lumbriciformis (worm pipefish)
Lineage: Eukaryota; Metazoa; Chordata; Actinopteri; Syngnathiformes; Syngnathidae
Source: RefSeq, a predicted model, not a curated record